GAGGGUAUAGCCCAGUGGUAGAGUGCAUGCUUAGCAUGAGGGAGGUCCUGGGUUCAAUCCUCAGUGCCUCCA
This 72-nucleotide transfer RNA is filed under the name Camelus bactrianus (Bactrian camel). It matches the Rfam family "tRNA". From Rfam's summary of the family: Transfer RNA (tRNA) molecules are approximately 80 nucleotides in length. Lineage: Eukaryota; Metazoa; Chordata; Mammalia; Artiodactyla; Camelidae. The record is from Rfam by way of RNAcentral. RNAcentral also lists the same sequence under 2 other names.